UGCUGCCAGUUGCCAACGGGUGAAGCCGGGCCACUCUGGCGGGACGUGCCAUCGACAAGAUGGAGGAAGGUGGGGAUGACGUCAAGUCAUCAUGGCCCUUAUGUCCAGGGCGACACACGUGCUACAAUGGCCGGGCACAGCGGGAAGCGAGGCAGUGAUGCCAAGCGGAUCCCUUAAAGCCGGUCUCAGUUCGGAUUGAAGUCUGCAACUCGACUUCAUGAAGCUGGAAUCGCUAGUAAUCGCAGAUCAGCCAAGCUGCGGUGAAUACGUUCCCGGGCCUU
This 281-nucleotide ribosomal RNA is filed under the name uncultured Synergistaceae bacterium. RNAcentral describes it as "partial 16S ribosomal RNA". It matches the Rfam family "Bacterial small subunit ribosomal RNA", at positions 1106 to 1382 of the family's 1533-position model. The record is from RNAcentral. Lineage: Bacteria; Thermotogati; Synergistota; Synergistia; Synergistales; Synergistaceae.